Molecule: long non-coding RNA, 1309 nt
Organism: Homo sapiens (human)
Lineage: Eukaryota; Metazoa; Chordata; Mammalia; Primates; Hominidae
Source: Ensembl
UUCCUGUCCAGAUGAACUCACUCCUGAUGCACUGGCCAUCUUGUUUUCUGAAAACUUCUUUCUCUUUGGUCCUAUUUUAGACUCAGAGCAGUUUGGGAGGCAACUGGUUUUAUUUGCACAGUUAUCACCUGUUCCAAUGAAGAAGAAACACAAAGAUGUGCUUCUGUGAUUUGAAAGUUUAUCCAGGAUUCAGGCUUUUUAGGAGUCUAUGAGGGUAUUGCUUGGCUGAAAUUCUCCACAUUGCCACUGGUUACUUAUUAUCGUUUCAUCCACAUCAGUGCUUCUCAAACUGCUGAGCAUUAGUGUCACCUGGGGAGCUUUAAAACAUUCUGAAGCCCAGCCCAUACCCCAGACCGGUUAGAUCACAAGUGGAGAAGCUGGGGCCCCAGCAUUGGCAGUUGUUAAAGCUCCCUGGGUGGACCCACCGUGCGGAAGGUGGGAGAAGCAGCAAACGCAAUUCUUAGUCUCUAAGUGUGGUCCCCAGGCCGGCAGCAGUGAGAGUUUGUUGGAAACACAGACUCUCAGGAGCUACUGAAUCGGAAUGUUGUGUCUUCCACAAGCUCCCAGGCCGUGUGCUUCGGUGCCAGGAAGAUCAGGCUGCAGGGGGCGUUGCGCUGGUUCCUGACAGGGACUCAUUCUUUCACCCAGGAUGAAGUGCGGUGGCAGGACCAUAGCUCACUGCAGCCUCAAUCAACUCCCGGAGCUCAAGCAAUCCUCCCACCUCAGCCUCCCAAGUAGCUGGGACCACAGAUGAAGGCUUCCUAUGUUGCCCAGGCUGGUCUCAAACGUCUGGCCUCCCGUCCUUAUGCGCCAGGACAACAGGACUGAGCCACCGCACCAUCCAAGUCUCUUGCUUUUUAAUAGCUUUCUUAUUUUUCUUUUAUUCAUCCAGGGGUUACUUUGUGAAUUUAAAUAAUUCACUUAAAAUAACAUUUUGAAAUUUAUCAACUUUAUCUACUGUUGUAUGAGAUAUGAGGAACUUAGCAAAUGGACUCAUUCUUCAUUUUCUUCUUCCUCUCUCUCCUGAUUUUUCCAAGUUAUGUUAUUAUUUUUAAAUUUCCAAAGCUUGUGUCAUUUAGAUUGUUCUAUAAAUAUAAUUAAGCAAUCAGUGGUUGUCUAAGUGUGGUUUCUUCUUAAAAUGUAUACUCAAUAAAUACAUUUCCAGUAUCAUGAAUAUAUAAAUACUUUUCACUCUAGGAAAAAUAAUAAAAAAAAGGUCUUGAUGUCCUAAGCCAUUAGGUUCUAAAAUGUGUCUUUUUGUUCAUGUAUAUUGUUAUAAAAGUGAAUAAAUGGGAUUUUUGAUACCAUG